This 253-nucleotide ribosomal RNA is filed under the name uncultured bacterium. Its description in RNAcentral is "partial 16S ribosomal RNA". It matches the Rfam family "Bacterial small subunit ribosomal RNA", at positions 524 to 776 of the family's 1533-position model. The record is from RNAcentral.
UACGUAGGGGGCUAGCGUUGUCCGGAAUCAUUGGGCGUAAAGAGCGUGUAGGCGGUCCGGUAAGUCCGCUGUGAAAGUCGGGGGCUCAACCCUCGAAUGCCGGUGGAUACUGUCGGGCUAGAGUGCGGAAGAGGCGAGCGGAAUUCCUGGUGUAGCGGUGAAAUGCGCAGAUAUCAGGAGGAACACCUAUUGCGAAGGCAGCUCGCUGGGACGUAACUGACGCUGAGACGCGAAAGCGUGGGGAGCAAACAGG